This 579-nucleotide long non-coding RNA is filed under the name Theobroma cacao (cacao). Its description in RNAcentral is "long non-coding RNA (TCAC_LNC004034)". The record is from RNAcentral. Lineage: Eukaryota; Viridiplantae; Streptophyta; Magnoliopsida; Malvales; Malvaceae.
UGCAGCUAUCAUGGACGAACACAGAACGGAAGCUGUCGAUCGCAUCUCUGAUCUACCUGAGCCAAUUCUUCAUCAUAUACUAUCUAAGGUUGAAGCAACAGAUGCAGCUCGAACUAGCGUCUUAUCCAAGGCCUGGAAAAGCAUAUAUGAUUCAUUUCCGGUGGUGGUUUUAGAUGAACUCUUCAUUGAAGAAUAUGUCAAAUCAUAUGAGCUCAGCAGUGAGGAAAGGCAGAAGUACCUGAGUAAUUUAGAGCAGUUCAGGACUCGUUAUAACGUGCAUAUACGAGGGGUUGGGGCUGAUGAGGAGAAAGGCAAAUUACUAGCGAUGAUGAUUAUCAGAGAGAAGUUCAUGUUGUUAUCAAACAAUUCGCUUAAGAGAAUAAAUCAGCAGAAAGAGUUGCUUAGCAUUAAAAAAUUCAGAUUUAGGAUUUUCCACCUGGAUGAUGAGUUUGCCUCUGUCAUUGACAAUUGGGUAGGAUUGGUAACAGAGAGAAACAUCGAAGAGCUAGAUAUAGAUCUCGGUUGCACAUUCUUACCAGUAUGUGAUUAUCCAAAACCAACAUACCAUUUGCCCCAAGC